GCUCAUUCAUUGUUUCUUCCUUUUUUUUUUCGUUCUUCGAAAACGUAAAUGGUGUUUUUUUGCGAAUUUCACACGAGGGAGUGGUUUGCGUGCUAAAAUGAAAAAAUGGGGAGAAGAAAUUGAAAAGUCAAA
This 132-nucleotide non-coding RNA is filed under the name Platyophrya macrostoma. The record is from RNAcentral. Lineage: Eukaryota; Ciliophora; Colpodea; Cyrtolophosidida; Platyophryidae.